GUUAGGAAUAUUGGACAAUGGGGGGAACCCUGAUCCAGCCAUGCCGCGUGUGUGAAGAAGGCCUUUUGGUUGUAAAGCACUUUAAGCGAGGAGGAGGCUACCGAGAUUAAUACUCUUGGAUAGUGGACGUUACUCGCAGAAUAAGCACCGGCUAACUCUGUGCCAGCAGCCGCGGUAAUACAGAGGGUGCAAGCGUUAAUCGGAUUUACUGGGCGUAAAGCGCACGUAGGUGGCCAAUUAAGUCAAAUGUGAAAUCCCCGAGCUUAACUUGGGAAUUGCAUUCGAUACUGGUUGGCUAGAGUAUGGGAGAGGAUGGUAGAAUGCCAGGUGUAGCGGUGAAAUGCGUAGAGAUCUGGAGGAAUACCGAUGGCGAAGGCAGCCAUCUGGCCUAAUACUGACACUGAGGUGCGAAAGCAUGGGGAGCAAACAGGAUUAGAUACCCGUGUAGUCC
RNAcentral lists this ribosomal RNA (451 nucleotides) under uncultured bacterium. Its description in RNAcentral is "partial 16S ribosomal RNA". It matches the Rfam family "Bacterial small subunit ribosomal RNA", at positions 354 to 796 of the family's 1533-position model. The record is from RNAcentral.